RNAcentral lists this ribosomal RNA (264 nucleotides) under uncultured bacterium. RNAcentral's name for it is "partial 16S ribosomal RNA". It matches the Rfam family "Bacterial small subunit ribosomal RNA", at positions 334 to 595 of the family's 1533-position model. The record is from RNAcentral.
CCAUCCUACGGGGCGCAGCAGUGAGGAAUAUUGGUCAAUGGCCGAGAGGCUGAACCAGCCAAGCCGCGUGAGGGAAGACGGCCCUAUGGGUUGUAAACCUCUUUUGUCGGAGAACAAAACCCGGGACGUGUCCCGGACUGCGUGUAUCCGAAGAAAAAGCAUCGGCUAACUCCGUGCCAGCAGCCGCGGUAAUACGGAGGAUGCGAGCGUUAUCCGGAUUUAUUGGGUUUAAAGGGUGCUUAGGCGGUCUGUUAAGUCAGCGGU